RNAcentral lists this ribosomal RNA (531 nucleotides) under uncultured bacterium. RNAcentral describes it as "bacterial SSU rRNA". It matches the Rfam family "Bacterial small subunit ribosomal RNA", at positions 777 to 1308 of the family's 1533-position model. The record is from RNAcentral.
AAUAGAUACCCCGGUAGUCCACGCCGUAAACGUUGGGCACUAGGUGUGGGGACCUAUCGACGGUUUCCGUGCCGUAGCUAACGCAUUAAGUGCCCCGCCUGGGGAGUACGGCCGCAAGGCUAAAACUCAAAGGAAUUGACGGGGGCCCGCACAAGCGGCGGAGCAUGUUGCUUAAUUCGAUGCAACGCGAAGAACCUUACCUGGGCUUGACAUGCAGAGAAAAGCCGUAGAGAUACGGUGUCCUUCGGGGCUCUGCACAGGUGGUGCAUGGUUGUCGUCAGCUCGUGUCGUGAGAUGUUGGGUUAAGUCCCGCAACGAGCGCAACCCUUGUCCUAUGUUGCCAGCGGAUAAUGCCGGGGACUCGUAGGAGACUGCCGGGGUCAACUCGGAGGAAGGUGGGGAUGACGUCAAAUCAUCAUGCCCCUUACGUCCAGGGCUGCAAACAUGCUACAAUGGCCGAUACAAAGGGCUGCUAUUCCGCGAGGAUGAGCGAAUCCCAAAAAGUCGGUCUCAGUUCGGAUCGAAGUCUGC